This is a long non-coding RNA of Harpia harpyja (harpy eagle), 713 nucleotides long. RefSeq lists it as uncharacterized. The record is from RefSeq and is a predicted model, not a curated record. The transcript has 3 exons. Lineage: Eukaryota; Metazoa; Chordata; Aves; Accipitriformes; Accipitridae.
CUGAGCUUCACUUUUGUUCUUAGGAGCUGUUUGUUCACACCAGACAUGCCUGAAGAGUUUGCGCAAUAUGCAGCUUCUGUAUACAUCAGCCAGCCCAGGGAACAAGCAGCAAAGACACCACAGGUAAAUACCACAGUAGAAGUGUGAAGCUACAAGUCUAGACUGCUUCCCUCCAGUUAAAAGCAUCAAACUGUCCCUGAUACGCAGAGAACAUCUAUUUGCAUUUGGAUUGUCUGUGUGGUCUCCCAAGUCUGUUCUCAGUCUGAGGAGGGACUGAUUUCAGCAGGUAUCAUAGGAGAAAGAUUGAAAACCCAAGCAUGAUGAACAAGAGGAGGGAAACAUUGUUAACUGUGGCUGGAGAUCCUGGCUGUAUGAAGGAUGGGCCCCAUUUUCCAACCUUCCCUUAGAAGCAAGGUUGCACCCACAUUGCCUGUGACACAGGUCACGUUCUGAAGUAAAGCUUUGAGAAGGCCUGUGACACUAGAUGUAAUCCCCAGUGUCCAGUUCCUGAUAUCCAUUGAUGCUGGAAACACUGGUAUUGGAAGAGACCAAACACCAGUUUUGCAGGAGAGUGAAGCUGCAAAGCACUGCUGCGGAGAUGACUUGUUAACCGAGACAAGGAAAUCCAAACUGGGGUAGGAUUUUUAGGAUAGAAAGAUUAAAUGUAAGCAUAUUAUUUAAAUGUAGGAAUAUUAUUUAAAUGCUAAUACUUG